UACAGAGGGUGCAAGCGUUAAUCGGAAUUACUGGGCGUAAAGGGUGCGUAGGUGGAUGCGUAAGUUAGAUGUGAAAGUCCUGUGGCUCAACCUGGGAGUGGCGUCUAAUACUGUGCAGCUAGAGUACUGUAGAGGAAAGUGGAAUUUCCGGUGUAGCGGUGGAAUGCGUAGAGAUCGGGAGGAACAUCCGUGGCGAAGGCGGCCAUCUGGAUCAACACUGACGCUGAGGCACGAAAGCGUGGGGAGCAAACAGG
This 254-nucleotide ribosomal RNA is filed under the name uncultured prokaryote. RNAcentral describes it as "partial 16S ribosomal RNA". It matches the Rfam family "Bacterial small subunit ribosomal RNA", at positions 524 to 776 of the family's 1533-position model. The record is from RNAcentral.